RNAcentral lists this ribosomal RNA (478 nucleotides) under uncultured bacterium. Its description in RNAcentral is "partial 16S ribosomal RNA". It matches the Rfam family "Bacterial small subunit ribosomal RNA", at positions 28 to 507 of the family's 1533-position model. The record is from RNAcentral.
GAUGAACGCUGGCGGCGUGCUUAACACAUGCAAGUCGAACGAGAAAUGUAGACGGAAACCUUCGGGCGGAAGCCUUCAUUUCGAGUGGCGGACGGGUGAGUAACGCGUGGGUAACCUGCCUCAUACAGGGGGAUAACAGUUGGGAACGACUGUUAAUACCGCAUAAGACCACAGCAUCGCAUGAUGCGGGGGUAAAAACUCCGGUGGUAUGAGAUGGACCCGCGUUCGAUUAGCCAGUUGGCGGGGUAACGGCCCACCAAAGCGACGAUCGAUAGCCGAUCUGAGAGGAUGACCGGCCACAUUGGGACUGAGACACGGCCCAAACUCCUACGGGAAGCAGCAGUGGGGAAUAUUGCACAAUGGGGGAAACCCUGAUGCAGCGACGCCGCGUGAGUGAAGAAGUACUUCGGUAUGUAAAGCUCUAUCAGCAGGGAAGAAAAUGACGGUACCUGAGUAAGAAGCCCCGGCUAACUACGUG